This 324-nucleotide long non-coding RNA is filed under the name Homo sapiens (human). RNAcentral's name for it is "non-protein coding lnc-USP6NL-8:10". Lineage: Eukaryota; Metazoa; Chordata; Mammalia; Primates; Hominidae. The record is from RNAcentral.
CCUUCUUCCGGCUGGGUUCCACUACCUGCAAGGCUGGAACUGACAGCCACUGUGCAAACAAAAAAAGGCAACAAGCAUGCUGGGACCAUUCUGUCUGCUGUUUGGGUCUCACUUGUCCUGACAACUAAAAAUCAUCAGUGGAAAGAAGCUAGAGUCAUCCUAACAAGAGUGAUAGUCUUUCCCCAAGUGAGACCAGGCUGUGCUGUCUGGGGAAAAGCAUUGCUGGCCUUGUCGAGAUGCACCGACGACUCAGCUCAGCUAAGGACUUAACCAGUACAGGACUUGCUGCAGCGGAGCCUGAGCUGGAUAUGGAAAGCAAAAGGU